UACGGAGGGGGCAAGCGUUAUUCGGAAUUAUUGGGCGUAAAGGGCGCGUAGGCGGCUAAACAAGUCAAAGGUGAAAUCCCUCGGCUCAACUGAGGAACUGCCUUUGAAACUGUUUGGCUAGAGGCCGGGAGGGGGUAGUGGAAUUCCCAGUGUAGCGGUGAAAUGCGUAGAUAUUGGGAGGAACACCAGUGGCGAAGGCGGCUACCUGGACCGGUUCUGACGCUGAUGCGCGAAAGCGUGGGUAGCAAACAGG
Molecule: ribosomal RNA, 253 nt
Filed under: uncultured bacterium
Lineage: Bacteria
Description: partial 16S ribosomal RNA
Rfam family: Bacterial small subunit ribosomal RNA
Source: RNAcentral